This is a long non-coding RNA of Myxocyprinus asiaticus (Chinese sucker), 378 nucleotides long. RefSeq lists it as uncharacterized. The record is from RefSeq and is a predicted model, not a curated record. Lineage: Eukaryota; Metazoa; Chordata; Actinopteri; Cypriniformes; Catostomidae. The transcript has 3 exons.
UGCUUAAUAAUGUCACUUGUACUUGUAUUUUUCUAUUUCAGAGAGACAUCCAGUGCCUUACCCCUGUUUGAUUUGCUUUAUACUUCAGAAGAUAAUAGUUUUUAUACAAUAAUAUUUUUUGUAUUGUUGAAACUUUUCAGCUGCAUCUUUUUUUAUUCUUUUCCUUUUUUGAAGGAUUGCCUUUGCAGUAAAUCCACCCCAAAGAGGCUCAAAUACAGAAGACAUUGGGAGGAACUCCUCAACAGAGCCACAUCACAGCACAUCACUGAAUGAAAGAUGCUCGCGGAGACAGAGACGGCUGAAAGCGCACCCUGUUUAUUUUCUUUAUUUUACAAAAGCACAAGGUUUUGUUGUUAUUGUGAGUGUACACAAAUAAAA